RNAcentral lists this ribosomal RNA (441 nucleotides) under uncultured bacterium. Its description in RNAcentral is "partial 16S ribosomal RNA". It matches the Rfam family "Bacterial small subunit ribosomal RNA", at positions 338 to 795 of the family's 1533-position model. The record is from RNAcentral.
CCUACGGGUGGCAGCAGUGGGGAAUAUUGCACAAUGGGGGAAACCCUGAUGCAGCGACGCCGCGUGAGUGAAGAAGUAUUUCGGUAUGUAAAGCUCUAUCAGCAGGGAAGAAGCAAGACGGUACCUGACUAAGAAGCCCCGGCUAACUACGUGCCAGCAGCCGCGGUAAUACGUAGGGGGCAAGCGGUAUCCGGAUUUACUGGGUGUAAAGGGAGCGUAGAGGGUGUGGCUAGUCUGAAGUGAAAGCCCAGGGCUUAAACCAUGGACUGCUUUGGAAACUGGUUGACUGGAGAGGUCGAGAGGUAAGUGGAAUGCGUAGUGUAGCGGGGAAAUGAGUAGAUAUUGGGAAGAACACCAGUGGCGAAGGCAGCAUACUGGAGACUAUCUGACGUUGAGGCACGAAAGCGUGGGGAGCAAACAGGAUUAGAUACCCGGGUAGUC